UUUCCCCCAAAUCCCACUCCAGCGGUGAGAGCGCCGCCAAAAUAGCACCAAAGCUGCGGCGGCGCACCUCAUCCAUAGCCGCGUCACCCGUGCCCUCUUCAAGCCAUCGCCGUUGCAGGCCCGGGCUCCCGCGGCUGUCGCUGCCGCAGCCGCCGCCGCUGCAUCUGCAGCAGACCUGGGCUCCCGCGGCUGCCGCUGUAGAGGGGCCGCCGCCGCCGCCUUUGCUGCAUCUGCAGCAGACCUGGGCUCCCGCGGCUGCCCCUGUAGAGGGUCCGCCGCCGCCGCUGCAGAGGGUCCGCCGCCGUGGAGCUUGACCGACCUGCUGCCCUCGACAACAACUUCAGGCGGAGGCAUCCGUGCUGCUGCCACCCUGCUCCUACCUUGCCGCCCUUGACCAAUACGUCCUCGGUCUGCAACCUGCUGCAACUAUAGGCGUCUUCUUCAACUUCAGAAUCAAGGGCUCCAUUAG
RNAcentral lists this long non-coding RNA (469 nucleotides) under Triticum aestivum (bread wheat). RNAcentral describes it as "long non-coding RNA (TAES_LNC010128)". Lineage: Eukaryota; Viridiplantae; Streptophyta; Magnoliopsida; Poales; Poaceae. The record is from RNAcentral.